This 2985-nucleotide ribosomal RNA is filed under the name Ignavibacteria bacterium. RNAcentral's name for it is "23S ribosomal RNA". It matches the Rfam family "Bacterial large subunit ribosomal RNA". The record is from RNAcentral. Lineage: Bacteria; Pseudomonadati; Ignavibacteriota; Ignavibacteria.
AAAGUUACAAAGGGCAUAUGGUGGAUGCCUUGGCACUAACAGGCGAUGAAGGACGUGGCUACCUGCGAUAAGCCUCGGAUAGACGGUAACAGUCUUUGACCCGGGGAUUUCCGAAUUGGACAACCAUUCCGGAGUAGUAUCCGGAAAUAUUUUACUGAAUAAAUAGGUAAAAUAGGCAAACGAAGGGAACUGAAACAUCUAAGUACCUUUUGGAAAAGAAAACAACAGUGAUUUCCUUAGUAGCGGCGAGCGAAACGGAAAGAGCCUAAACCUUGUGAUAUGUUAAAGACUGCAAUCGUUGUAUCACGGGUGUUGAGGGACUUUUAGGUAGAUUUGCAGUAUACCGAAGAGUUACAAAUCUUAGGGUUAAUUGAAUGAUGUGGAACAAUCAACCACAGACGGUGAAAGUCCGGUAAAUAAAAACUCUAAGACUCUUAAAAGUAUCCCGAGUACCGCGGAGCACGUGGAAUUCUGUGGGAAUCUGCCAGAACCAUCUGGUAAGGCUAAAUACUCGAUAGUGACCGAUAGCGAACAAGUACCGUGAGGGAAAGGUGAAAAGUACUCCUAACAGGAGGGUGAAAUAGAACCUGAAACCAUAUGCUUACAAACGGUAGUAGUCUAUAAAAGCAGCUUGCUGUUUUAAUUAGAUGACUGCGUGCCUUUUGCUUAAUGAGCCAACGAGUUACUCGUAUAUUGCAGCGUAAGUUUUUAAGAAACGAACGCAUAGCGAAAGCAAGUCCGAACAGGGCGAUAAGUAAUAUGCGGUAGACGCGAAACCGUGUGAUCUAUUCUUGACCAGGAUGAAAUAUCGGUAAAACGAUAUGGAGGUCCGAACUAGUGUGGGUUGAAAACCGCUUGGAUGAGUUGAGAAUAGGAGCGAAAGACCAAUCAAACUCGGAAAUAGCUCGUACUCCCCGAAAUAGCUUUAGGGCUAGCCUCGGAACAGUAUUUUGUAGGUAGAGCACUAACUGGGCUAGGGCCGCCACAGCGGUACCAAACCCAAAUAAACUCCGAAUGACAAAAAUAUGUUUUCCGGGAGUCAGGCAGUGAGGGAUAAGCUUCAUUGCCGAGAGGGAAAUAACCCAGACCACCAAUUAAGGUCCCCAAGUUUAUGUUAACAGACUAAGGAUGUUAAGUUGCUUAGACAACUAGGAUGUUGGCUUAGAAGCAGCCAUUCAUUUAAAGAGUGCGUAAUAGCUCACUAGUCGAGCGACUUAGCGCCGAUAAUACACGGGACUAAACAUAACACCGAAAUUGUGGAACCUGAACUCGUUUCAGGUUGGUAGGGGAGCAUUCUAUCGGCGACUGCAGUGAAUGCAGGUCUUCGGAUGAAGGUGUCAGGCGACUGAUGCUGGAGCUGAUAGAAAAGAAAAUGUUGGCAUAAGUAACGAUAAUGCAUACGAAAAAUAUGCACACCGUAAAUCCAAGGUUUCCUGAGCAAUGUUAAUCAUCUCAGGGUUAGUCGGUCCCUAAGCUGAGGCCAAACGGCGUAAGUAAUGGGAAACAGGUUAAAUAUUCCUGUACCUUCGACAUUUAAACCAAAAUGACGCAAAAGUGAAAGGAAAGCCGCCUGAUGGAUGGCGGUCUAAGGUCGUAGUUUCGAGAAAUCGGGAUGAAAGCCGAACGGGAUGGCGCAAGCCUACAAACUUUCCCUAAUCAUGUUGCCAAGAAAUAGUUUUGGUGUAUACUAAGAAGUCCGUACCGUAAACCGACACAGGUAGAUGAGGAGAAUAUCCUAAGGUGCUCGAGUGAGCCGUAGUUAAGGAACUCGGCAAAUUAACCCCGUAACUUAGGGAAAAGGGGUGUCCCGAUUCGUCGGGAUCGCAGAGAAAUGGGUCAAGCGACUGUUUAACAAAAACACAUGUCUAUGCAAAGCCUUUAAGGCGAAGUAUAUGGACUGACACCUGCCCGGUGCUGGAAGGUUAAGAGGAGAGGUCAGCUUUGAGUAAUCGAGGCGAAGCUUUGAAUCGAAGCCCCAGUAAACGGCGGCCGUAACUAUAACGGUCCUAAGGUAGCGAAAUUCCUUGUCGGGUAAGUUCCGACCUGCACGAAUGGUGUAACGAUUUGACCACUGUCUCGACUACGGGCUCGGUGAACUUGUGGUACCGGUGAAGACGCCGGUUACCUGCAUAUGGACGAAAAGACCCCGUGCACCUUUACUGCACCUUAACAUUGGGUUUGGAUACAGCAUGUGUAGAAUAGGUGGGAGACUAUGAAGCGGUGGCGUCAGCCAUCGUGGAGUCGCAAUGUGAAAUACCACCCUUGUUUUGUUCGAAUUCUAACCUGGACCCUUGAAUCAGGGUUGGGAACAGUGUUAGGCGGGUAGUUUGACUGGGGCGGUCGCCUCCUAAAAAGUAACGGAGGCUUUCAAAGGUACCCUCAGCAUGGUUGGUAAUCAUGCUUAGAGCGCAAAGGCAAAAGGGUGCUUAACUGUGAGACUUACAAGUCGAACAGGUGCGAAAGCAGGACUUAGUGAUCCGACGGUAGAUUGUGGAAUUGCCGUCGCUUAAAGGAUAAAAGGUACGCCGGGGAUAACAGGCUGAUGGCUUCCAAGAGUUCACAUCGACGAAGUCGUUUGGCACCUCGAUGUCGGCUCAUCGCAUCCUGGGGCUGGAGAAGGUCCCAAGGGUUUGGCUGUUCGCCAAUUAAAGCGGUACGUGAGCUGGGUUCAGAACGUCGUGAGACAGUUCGGUCUCUAUCCUAUGCAGGCGCAGGAAAUUUGAGAAGGCUCGCUCUUAGUACGAGAGGACCGGAGUGAACGAACCAAUGGUGCGCCAGUUGUCAUGCCAAUGGCACUGCUGGGUAGCUAUGUUCGGUUGAGAUAAGCGCUGAAAGCAUCUAAGCGCGAAACUCGCUUCAAGAUUAAAUUUCCCUCCGUAGCAAUACGGAAUAAGACUCCAGAGAGAUGAUCUGGUUGAUAGGCUGCAGGUAUAAGUGUAGUAAUGCAUUCAGCCAAGCAGUACUAAUAAGUCGAAUGACUUUUCC